GCGUGCAGGCGAUACGGGCAGACUUGAGUACUACAGGGGAGACUGGAAUUUCUGGUGUAGCGGUGGAAUGCACAGAUAUCAGGAAGAACACCGAUGGCGAAGGCAGGUCUCUGGGCUGUAACUGACGCUGAGGAGCGAAAGCGUGGGGAGCGAACAGGAUUAGAUACCCUGGUAGUCCACGCUGUAAACGGUGGGUACUAGGUGUGUGGUC
This 211-nucleotide ribosomal RNA is filed under the name Pseudopedinella elastica. Its description in RNAcentral is "partial Bacterial small subunit ribosomal RNA". It matches the Rfam family "Bacterial small subunit ribosomal RNA", at positions 619 to 829 of the family's 1533-position model. The record is from RNAcentral. Lineage: Eukaryota; Dictyochophyceae; Pedinellales.